UACGGGGGGGGCAAGCGUUGUUCGGAAUUACUGGGCGUAAAGGGCUCGUAGGCGGCCAACUAAGUCGGACGUGAAAUCCCUCAGCUUAACUGGGGAACUGCGUCCGAUACUGGAUGGCUUGGAUUUGGGAGAGGGAUGCGGAAUUCCAGGUGUAGCGGUGAAAUGCGUAGAUAUCUGGAGGAACACCGGUGGCGAAGGCGGCAUCCUGGACCGAGAUUGACGCUGAGGCGCGAAAGCUAGGGGAGCAAACGGG
Molecule: ribosomal RNA, 253 nt
Filed under: uncultured bacterium
Lineage: Bacteria
Description: partial 16S ribosomal RNA
Rfam family: Bacterial small subunit ribosomal RNA
Source: RNAcentral